GGGGUUCCCUCUGCAGCACAGCAAUGACAUCUUUAACAGAAAUAGUACGAGCCACCCUAGUUUGAGUUGCAUUGGUUUGGUUCCUUCCAAAUUUCCUGGAAGUUCCUUUUCUAUCACCUUCUUGGUUGUCCUUCCCAUGUCUUCCUGAUGCUGAUGAAGACUUACGCACAGCAUCUUUCCCUGCCUGAGAACCAGAAGCUGAAUCCAUUCCACCU
This 215-nucleotide unclassified non-coding RNA is filed under the name Hevea brasiliensis (rubber tree). The record is from RNAcentral. Lineage: Eukaryota; Viridiplantae; Streptophyta; Magnoliopsida; Malpighiales; Euphorbiaceae.